AGUAACACGUGAGUAACCUGCCCCUGACUUCGGGAUAAGCCCGGGAAACUGGGUCUAAUACCGGAUACGACUGCCGGACGCAUGUCUGGUGGUGGAAAGUUUUUUCGGUUGGGGAUGGGCUCGCGGCCUAUCAGUUUGUUGGUGAGGUAAUGGCUCACCAAGACGACGACGGGUAGCCGGCCUGAGAGGGCGACCGGCCACACUGGGACUGAGACACGGCCCAGACUCCUACGGGAGGCAGCAGUGGGGAAUAUUGCACAAUGGGGGAAACCCUGAUGCAGCGACGCAGCGUGCGGGAUGACGGCCUUCGGGUUGUAAACCGCUUUCAGCAGGGAAGAAGCGCAAGUGACGGUACCUGCAGAAGAAGUACCGGCUAACUACGUGCCAGCAGCCGCGGUAAUACGUAGGGUACGAGCGUUGUCCGGAAUUAUUGGGCGUAAAGAGCUCGUAGGUGGUUGGUCACGUCUGCUGUGGAAACGCAACGCUUAACGUUGCGCGUGCAGUGGGUACGGGCUGACUAGAGUGCAGUAGGGGAGUCUGGAAUUCCUGGUGUAGCGGUGAAAAUGCGCAGAUAUCAGGAGGAACACCGGUGGCGAACGCGGGACUCUGGGCUGUAACUGACACUGAGGAGCGAAAGCAUGGGGAAGCGAAC
This 652-nucleotide ribosomal RNA is filed under the name Brevibacterium sanguinis. Its description in RNAcentral is "bacterial SSU rRNA". It matches the Rfam family "Bacterial small subunit ribosomal RNA", at positions 109 to 773 of the family's 1533-position model. The record is from RNAcentral. Lineage: Bacteria; Bacillati; Actinomycetota; Actinomycetes; Micrococcales; Brevibacteriaceae.